GUUAACAUGUCACUAAUAAUUAAUGAUUUUAUUUUGACACAUCACUUGGACUUUUUAUUUCUUAAUGAAACAUGGUUGAAUGAUGGUAUCAGUAAUACUAUUCUCAAUGAAAGUGCGCCACAAGACUUUAUUUAUUUAAAUAAGUGUCGUACUUGCAGGAAAGGUGGUGGAGUUGCUGCCAUUUUUAAAUCAAUAUUUCAGUGCAAAGAAAUAACAUUUGGUGAUUUUAUCUCCUUUGAAUAUAUGUCAUUCUUACUGAAGGGUGAUUCAAGAGUUCUGUUUUUAGUCAUUUAUAGACCCCCAAAAUAUUCUGGAGAAUUCAUGGAUGAGUUUGCUGAACUGCUGUCAGUUGUAUGCACUGAAUACAACUUUUUAAUAAUAACAGGUGACUUAAAUAUUCAUGUAGACAAUAACAUGGACAAUACUGCCAAAGAACUGUAUGCUUUAAUGGAUACUUUUGGUCUUACACAACAUGUGACUGGUCCGACACACACUCAAGGUCACACUUUGGAUCUGGUUAUCUCUAAAGGUGUUGAUAUCUCUGCUGUUGAUGUAAGAGACUUAGCUCUAUCUGAUCAUUUCUGUGUCUUUUUUGACCUAGAGACUGUAACAUCUGUUCCCCCUAGUUAUGUGUGUUUAAAGAAAAGGUACAUAAAUGAGAACACAAGUGCACAGUUUAUGGAAGCCAUAGCAAUGACACCAACAUUGAGUGCUGAGACAGUUGAUGAUCUUCUGGAUGAGUAUAAUAGAAACGUCUGUAAUGUCAUAGAUGUGGUGGCUCCAAUCAAAACUAAGAGAAAACCAAACACACAGAAAACACCUUGGAGGAGGACUGAGAUAAUGCAGAAUUUGAAAUCUGACUGUAGAAGAGCUGAGCGUAAAUGGAGAUCAACAAAACUCCAAAUUCAUCUAGAACUGUACAAAAUAAGUCUGCGAAAAUUCAAUGAUGGCUUGUUCAAAGCAAGGCAGCAAUACUUUUCUGAAAUUAUUGCCAAAAAUGUCAACAACUCUCGCACGUUGUUUUCUGUAAUUGAAAAGCUCACAACCCCCCCAGAUCAGAUAGCCCCUGAAUUACUGUCAGCUGGAAAAUGCAAUGAAUUUGCUGUAUAUUUCAAUGAAAAAAUACAAUCAAUAAGGUCAAACAUCAGAACAAACCAGC
This is a long non-coding RNA of Gouania willdenowi (blunt-snouted clingfish), 1159 nucleotides long. Lineage: Eukaryota; Metazoa; Chordata; Actinopteri; Blenniiformes; Gobiesocidae. The record is from Ensembl.